CUGACUGUUUUAGGUGAGUCAGAUCUUUAUAAAUGUACAAAGAUAAACGUGAUGAGACGUUCUCAGGAUCCUGAUAUGUUUGGGUUAUUAUCAGUUCAGCUCAGAGCUUUUUGACAUGAAGCUUCAGCGCUGUGCUAAUUACGAAGCGUACUUCGGUGCAGGAACUAAACUGACUGUUCUCGAACAUGACGUCACUCCACCGACAGUCAGAGUUCUCCCAGCUUCUCCAAAGGAGUGUGGACACCAGAGUAAGACCAUCGUUUGUGUGGCCAGUGGAUUCUACCCGGAUCAUGUCAGCUUCUCCUGGACCGACAAAGAGGGCGAGGUCAGCUCAGGUGUGGCGACGGACAGCGAGGCCGUGCUGGAAGAAGGAAAGACCUACAUGAUGAGCAGCAGGCUGAGGGUCUCUGCUGAAGAGUGGAACAAUCCUGACAAUGAAUUCACCUGCACCGUCCGCUUCUUUGACGGGGACAAAACGGUCCCUUACUCUGCUUCAGUUAAAGGAAUAGAAGCUGAAAGAAAAACCAUCACCAGAGACAAAUAUCUGAAGGUCACGCAGAGCGCCAAACUGACGUACAGCGUGUUCAUCGUGAAGAGCUGUUUCUACGGAGCCUUCCUCGCUUUUCUGCUGCUCAAGUUUCAGGCUGCAGACGGGAAACAGAAGAACUGAGAGCUGAUCUGAAGUCUGAAGCGUCGACUCGGAGAGAUUAACUUUGACCGUGUACAGAACGUUUUCUAUAAAGCUGAUAAAAGCUUCUAUGAGCUCACUGUGUUACUUUCACUUCUUCUUCUUUGUUUGAGUUCAUGACUGAAUCUGUUUCUUUUGAAUAAACGUUUGUGAGACGAUCUGA
This is a non-coding RNA of Labrus bergylta (ballan wrasse), 851 nucleotides long. The record is from the annotation of a RefSeq genome assembly. Lineage: Eukaryota; Metazoa; Chordata; Actinopteri; Labriformes; Labridae.